AGCGGCGCAAGGGUGCGUAACACGUGGGUAAUCUGCCAUGAAGAUUGGGAUAACCCCGAGAAAUCGGGGCUAAUACCGGAUGUGAUCGCCUGGGGGCAUCCCUGGGGGAUUAAAGUUGGGGACCGCAAGGCCUGACGCUUCAUGAUGAGCCCGCGGCCUAUCAGCUAGUUGGUGGGGUAACGGCUCACCAAGGCUAAGACGGGUAGCUGGUCUGAGAGGACGACCAGCCACACUGGAACUGAGACACGGUCCAGACACCUACGGGUGGCAGCAGUCGAGAAUUUUUCACAGUGGGCGCAAGCCUGAUGGAGCGACGCCGCGUGGGGGAUGAAUGGCUUCGGCCCGUAAACCCCUGUCAUUUGCGAGCAAGGCGCAUUAUUUAAAAGAUGAUGUGUUGAUAGUAGCGGAAGAGGAAGGGACGGCUAACUCUGUGCCAGCAGCCGCGGUAAUACAGAGGUCCCGAGCGUUGUUCGGAUUCACUGGGCGUAAAGGGUGCGUAGGUGGUGAGGCAAGUCGGAUGUGAAAUUCUGGAGCUUAACUCCGGAACGGCAUUGGAAACUGCCUUGUGGGAGGUUUGGAGGGGGGACUGGAAUUCUCGGUGUAGCAGUGAAAUGCGUAGAUAUCGAGAGGAACACCAGUGGCGAAGGCGAGUCCCUGGACAACACCUGACACUGAGGCACGAAAGCUAGGGGAGCAAACA
This 700-nucleotide ribosomal RNA is filed under the name uncultured bacterium. RNAcentral describes it as "bacterial SSU rRNA". It matches the Rfam family "Bacterial small subunit ribosomal RNA", at positions 94 to 774 of the family's 1533-position model. The record is from RNAcentral.